UACGAAGGACCCGAGCGUUAUCCGGAUUUAUUGGGUUUAAAGGGUGCGUAGGCGGAUUAUUAAGUCAGUGGUGAAAGCCUACAGCUUAACUGAAGAAUUGCCAUUGAUACUGAUGAUCUUGAGUAUGAUUGAGGUGGGCGGAAUGUGUCAUGUAGCGGUGAAAUGCUUAGAUAUGACACAGAACACCGAUUGCGAAGGCAGCUCACUAAGUCAUAACUGACGCUGAUGCACGAAAGCGUGGGGAGCAAACAGGAUUAGAAACCCCAGUAGUCC
This 273-nucleotide ribosomal RNA is filed under the name uncultured bacterium. RNAcentral's name for it is "partial 16S ribosomal RNA". It matches the Rfam family "Bacterial small subunit ribosomal RNA", at positions 524 to 796 of the family's 1533-position model. The record is from RNAcentral.